GAUGAACGCUGGCGGCGUGCCUAAUAUAUGCAAGUCGAGCGAACAGACGAGGAGCUUGCUCCUCUGACGUUAGCGGCGGACGGGUGAGUAACACGUGGAUAACCUACCUAUAAGACUGGGAUAACUUCGGGAAACCGGAGCUAAUACCGGAUAAUAUAUUGAACCGCAUGGUUCAAUAGUGAAAGACGGUUUUGCUGUCACUUAUAGAUGGAUCCGCGCCGCAUUAGCUAGUUGGUAAGGUAACGGCUUACCAAGGCAACGAUGCGUAGCCGACCUGAGAGGGUGAUCGGCCACACUGGAACUGAGACACGGUCCAGACUACUACGGGAGGCAGCAGUAGGGAAUCUUCCGCAAUGGGCGAAAGCCUGCCGGAGCAACGCCGCGUGAGUGAUGAAGGUCUUCGGAUCGUAAAACUCUGUUAUUAGGGAAGAACAAAUGUGUAAGUAACUAUGCACGUCUUGACGGUACCUAAUCAGAAAGCCACGGCUAACUACGUG
Molecule: ribosomal RNA, 497 nt
Filed under: uncultured bacterium
Lineage: Bacteria
Description: partial 16S ribosomal RNA
Rfam family: Bacterial small subunit ribosomal RNA
Source: RNAcentral